AUCCUACGGGACGCAGCAGUGGGGAAUAUUGCACAAUGGGGGAAACCCUGAUGCAGCGACGCCGCGUGAGUGAAGAAGUAUUUCGGUAUGUAAAGCUCUAUCAGCAGGGAAGAAAAUGACGGUACCUGACUAAGAAGCUCCGGCUAACUACGUGCCAGCAGCCGCGGUAAUACGUAUGGAGCAAGCGUUAUCCGGAUUUACUGGGUGUAAAGGGAGCGUAGACGGCAGCGCAAGUCUGGAGUGAAAUGCCGGGGCUCAACCCCGGAACUGCUCUGGAACCUGUGCGGCUAGAGUGCUGGCGAGGC
Molecule: ribosomal RNA, 305 nt
Filed under: uncultured bacterium
Lineage: Bacteria
Description: bacterial SSU rRNA
Rfam family: Bacterial small subunit ribosomal RNA
Source: RNAcentral